This 98-nucleotide microRNA precursor is filed under the name Caenorhabditis japonica. RNAcentral describes it as "mir-228 microRNA precursor family". It matches the Rfam family "mir-228 microRNA precursor family". The record is from Rfam by way of RNAcentral. Lineage: Eukaryota; Metazoa; Nematoda; Chromadorea; Rhabditida; Rhabditidae.
CUCCGUUCCGCAAUGGCACUGCAUGAAUUCACGGCUUGCAUCCGGCCACACGGACAUUUACGCCGCGGAUUGUGCGGUACCAUAGCGGACGGACGGGC